Molecule: long non-coding RNA, 595 nt
Filed under: Monodelphis domestica (gray short-tailed opossum)
Lineage: Eukaryota; Metazoa; Chordata; Mammalia; Didelphimorphia; Didelphidae
Description: lncRNA (ENSMODG00000031381.2)
Source: RNAcentral
GGAGGCUGAUUUCUCAUUGUAAGGAGGAGUAGCUCUCCGCAGAGCCUCGGGAGAUAGGCUCAGGUCAGGAGGCUAAUUGCUGGUGAAAUAGCAUCGAAGGGGAAGGGAGAAAGAUGAAGAAAGAAAGCUCUGUCUCUGAAGCCUGCCUGCCUUUGAGGUUCUUCACCCAUAGGAGGUAGAGUCAAUGGGAGUGGAACAAGUGAAUGAAUGAAGGGAUGAACGAGGGCAAGAAAUUCAAAAGAAGUGCAACAUCCUGGUCUAACCUACAGUCAGCAAACAAGAAGAACAACUAACAGAGUAAUUCAGAGACUCCAUCUGGCUUCUUGCCCUGGAUGCUGACCAGUUUGCUUCUGUGACAUUAACCUGGUGCCUGAGAGUCUGAGUGUCAAUUUUGUACAGCUAUACAUAAAAGAUUUGAAAAUGAAUAUCACUCAGAGGACAAUGAAGAGCCACUUAAUGGAGGGAGGAUCAUCUCCAGACCUGUAAUACUGAGCAAACAGUUAAAAUGGAAAUUAAAAUCAGGAAAGCAUACUUUACUAGACAUGAAAACUGAAAAUCAAGGAUUGGAAGUGACCAAUUGAAAGAGAAACCGGCA